GACGAACGCUGGCGGCGUGCCUAACACAUGCAAGUCGAGCGGAGGAAGCAGUAAUGUUUCUUCAGCGGCGGACGGGUGAGUAACACGUGGGUAACCUGCCUCGAAAUGGGGGAUAGCCUUCCGAAAGGAAGAUUAAUACCGCAUAACCUCGGAUCUCCGCAUGGAGGACCGAGAAAAGGAGAAAUCCGUUUCGAGAUGGACCCGCGGCGCAUUAGCUAGUUGGUGAGGUAACGGCCCACCAAGGCGACGAUGCGUAGCCGACCUGAGAGGGUGAUCGGCCACAUUGGAACUGAGACACGGUCCAGACUCCUACGGGUGGCAG
This 322-nucleotide ribosomal RNA is filed under the name uncultured Bacillota bacterium. RNAcentral describes it as "bacterial SSU rRNA". It matches the Rfam family "Bacterial small subunit ribosomal RNA", at positions 28 to 351 of the family's 1533-position model. The record is from RNAcentral. Lineage: Bacteria; Bacillati; Bacillota.